UUUUGGUCACUGUGUUUCCUCGUUGCAGCAACAGAGACCCUAAGACAACGAGCAUCUGUAAUGCCAGCACCCCUAUGGCAAGACAGGUAGAAGGCAGAGACGGGAGAUUCUUCAGAGACUCAUGGGCCAGGGAAUCUACAGUACACAGCAGUGAACAACAAAGAAACGGCUCCAGCAAGAUUCUCCAAAUGCGCAUUCUCCUAUAUCAGAGUUCCCGUCGUGUCUCUGGAGAGAAGCCGCUGCUGUUUGCAGGUCAAGUUCAAGACAUCAAUAGGACAGACUCCACAUCUAAGCAGACCACCUUCAUCAGGGACAGGACCAGGAGCUCAUUCCCAGGGAAACCCAUUACACACUUAUGUUUAAAUGACUUUAACACCUAAAGGUCUUUUACAGAACACACUAUGGCAAUGGGAGACAAUUUCUCAGUGACAGCUAGAAGCCAGGUGUUGCCAUGAUCAUAGCAAUGAGAUGAUGAUGAUGAUGAUGAUAGUUGUGGUUAGAGGAUGGUGGUAAUAUUGAUCAAGAAGAUGGUGAUGGUGGUGGUGGCUGUAGCAAAAGCUGUAAACUCUUCUGCAAAGUGCUUCUC
Mus musculus (house mouse) is the source of this 586-nucleotide long non-coding RNA. RefSeq annotates it as predicted gene, 51634. The record is from RefSeq and is a predicted model, not a curated record. The transcript is spliced from 3 exons. Lineage: Eukaryota; Metazoa; Chordata; Mammalia; Rodentia; Muridae.